RNAcentral lists this ribosomal RNA (917 nucleotides) under uncultured bacterium. Its description in RNAcentral is "bacterial SSU rRNA". It matches the Rfam family "Bacterial small subunit ribosomal RNA", at positions 9 to 916 of the family's 1533-position model. The record is from RNAcentral.
GAGUUUGAUCCUGGCUCAGGAUGAACGCUAGCGGCAGGCUUAACACAUGCAAGUCGAGGGGCAUCGGGAGGGAAGCUUGCUUUCCUUGCCGGCGACCGGCGCACGGGUGAGUAACACGUAUGCAACCUGCCCUCUUCAGGGGGACAACCUUCCGAAAGGGAGGCUAAUCCCGCGUAUAUCGGUUUCGGGCAUCCGUUAUCGAGGAAAGAUUCAUCGGAAGAGGAUGGGCAUGCGGCGCAUUAGCUUGACGGCGGGGUAACGGCCCACCGUGGCGACGAUGCGUAGGGGUUCUGAGAGGAAGGUCCCCCACACUGGUACUGAGACACGGACCAGACUCCUACGGGAGGCAGCAGUGAGGAAUAUUGGUCAAUGGGAGAGAUCCUGAACCAGCCAAGCCGCGUGAGGGAAGACGGCCCUAUGGGUUGUAAACCUCUUUUGUCGGAGAACAAAACCCGGGACGUGUCCCGGACUGCGUGUAUCCGAAGAAAAAGCAUCGGCUAACUCCGUGCCAGCAGCCGCGGUAAUACGGAGGAUGCGAGCGUUAUCCGGAUUUAUUGGGUUUAAAGGGUGCGUAGGCGGUCCGUUAAGUCAGCGGUAAAAUUGCGGGGCUCAACCCCGUCGAGCCGUUGAAACUGUCAGACUUGAGUUGGCGAGAAGUACGUGGAAUGCGCGGUGUAGCGGUGAAAUGCAUAGAUAUCGCGCAGAGCUCCGAUUGCGAAGGCAGCGUACCGGCGCCAGACUGACGCUGAGGCACGAAAGCGUGGGGAUCGAACAGGAUUAGAUACCCUGGUAGUCCACGCAGUAAACGAUGAAUGCUGGUUGUCCGGGUCGAAUGAGAUCUGGGCGGCGAAGCGAAAGCGAUAAGCAUUCCACCUGGGGAGUACGCCGGCAACGGUGAAACUCAAAGGAAUUGACGG